This is a long non-coding RNA of Leptonychotes weddellii (Weddell seal), 527 nucleotides long. RefSeq lists it as uncharacterized. The record is from RefSeq and is a predicted model, not a curated record. NCBI's taxonomy places the organism in Eukaryota, Metazoa, Chordata, Mammalia, Carnivora, Phocidae.
ACUGUCUGACAGAGCAGACAGUGCCUGAGGAUGGUCUUGUUAAAAGGUCCAACAACGGGCAGGGCUGCCUGCUAUUUCCCAGUGUAAAUGGAGCCUGCUGAAUCUUUCUAUCCACACCAACUCUGCAGAACGCGUGUGGGCAUGGCUGGACUGAUUCAGAGCACGGCAGAUAGUUAGCUCGGAAGCAGAGCUGUUCACAGGAGCACCGAAUCGCCCUUCCUAAGGAACUGCUCCUGUAGGGAAGCAGCUCAACGGGGCUGAAGAGACAAGAAUAGAAGAAAAAGCAAGUUGAGGGUCUGACAAAGGGAAAAAGAUGGAUGACUGCUAGAUCAGCAUGUGGCCUGCCAAGAAAAUAAAAAGACACUCAGGAACUGGAAUGAGGUACCAUUUUUCUAUACAUCAACCAACUAGGGAAUGUUCUACCACAACUUCACACCAGGAAGUUUUGACUUGGAGUCUUCACACAAAGAUAUACCUGAAUACAUUCUUUUUUACCUCUCUUGAGAACUCCUCUUUUCCUACCUCUA